This 253-nucleotide ribosomal RNA is filed under the name uncultured bacterium. Its description in RNAcentral is "partial 16S ribosomal RNA". It matches the Rfam family "Bacterial small subunit ribosomal RNA", at positions 524 to 776 of the family's 1533-position model. The record is from RNAcentral.
UACGGAGGGUGCAAGCGUUAAUCGGAAUUACUGGGCGUAAAGCGUGCGCAGGCGGUUCGUUGUGUCGGCGGUGAAAGCCCCGGGCUUAACCUGGGAAUGGCCGUUGAAACUGGCGAACUGGAGUGUGGCAGAGGGGGGUGGAAUUCCGCGUGUAGCAGUGAAAUGCGUAGAGAUGCGGAGGAACACCGAUGGCGAAGGCAGCCCCCUGGGCUAACACUGACGCUCAGGCACGAAAGCGUGGGGAGCAAACAGG